This 146-nucleotide unclassified non-coding RNA is filed under the name uncultured Helotiales. RNAcentral's name for it is "sequence contains ITS2". Lineage: Eukaryota; Fungi; Ascomycota; Leotiomycetes; Helotiales. The record is from RNAcentral.
UAACCAAUCAAGCUCUGCUUGGUCUUGGGGUCUGCUAUACCGGCGACCCUUAAAAUCAGUGGCGGUGCCGUUUGGCUCUAAGCGUAGUAAUACUUCUCGCUAUAGGGUCCAGUCGUUCACCGGCCAGAAUUCUUAAUUUUCUUAGG